Dendrobium catenatum is the source of this 2466-nucleotide long non-coding RNA. RefSeq lists it as uncharacterized. The transcript has 3 exons. The record is from RefSeq and is a predicted model, not a curated record. Lineage: Eukaryota; Viridiplantae; Streptophyta; Magnoliopsida; Asparagales; Orchidaceae.
GGUGGCGCUGUGGCGCUUGGGGAAGUUGUAGCGCUGUAGCGCUGAGGUAGUUUUAAAAAAUUUUAACCUAUUCCUACACCAAAAGAUAUAUUUAUCUAGCACUUUAUAACAAACAUAUGCAAUUUAAAGUAUGCAAUUUUUCUACUUAUCAGCUAACAUGCUUGUGAAACAUUGAGGUGUUAGUUACAUUGUCAAGAUGUUUAAUGCUUAUAUUUGGCUACUUUAUUUUGUUGAGAUGUAUAUGAACAUGAUGGUUGGUGAAUAAUACUCAAAAUUGAUUGCAUAUAUUUAAGGGUAUUAUCAAUAUAAAUGGAUUUAUUUUGAUUAGAAGUUGUACUUUCGCUUUUGGAUGAAAUAGUUAUAAUAUAGAGAAGUUUUUUGAUCAUUACUUCAACAAAUAAACACACAUAAACUUGUUGUGAUCAUCAAUGAUGGAAAUGAAAUAAUAUAAACCCUGCUUAUGCCUUAAUCCGUAGUUAUCAGAAUGUACCAAGUGAAAAGGCCCAAUAUUAUGUCAAGGGGAUGAUGAGGGAAAGGGAACGUGAUGAUGUUUUCCAUAUUUGUAAGCUUCAUAUUCAAUUUUUAAAACAAAGAAUUGUAUAUUAGUGAAGCCCUUAAAAUGGUGACCCUGAUGAUGGUGCCACAGAUAAAGAAAAAUAAAGGAGGAUGAUAUGACAAUGAAAUAAUUUCAGUGGGAUAAUAAUUAUCUCAAACCUAAACUCAUACACCAAUUAUUUUGUUCAUACUGAGGUCUUGAAAAACAUAGCAUGAAGGAAAAAGCUUUUAAAAAAUUAUCAAAUUUGGUGAUACAGUGCACGGACAAAAGAUUUAUCCAAAAAUGUGAGACAUAAAAUAUUAUCUAAUGUUAUGAAGAGGAGGGAUUGCUUGAUCCUUUUCCAUCAAUCAGAGGAAGAGAGCCUUGACAAAGGGAAUUUAUGUUGUGGUAAACGAUGAAAAUAAUUAUUGGUUACAUUCCAUAUGAGAAGUACUCCAAUCUAACAAACCAUAAUGAGCAAUUUCAUCCAAGUCAAAGGAGGAAAUACAAGCUGAAAUGAUCAUAUUCCUCUUGGGAAAUGACAAUUAUACAAUUCAACUGCCCAACUCCUGUUAAUUAAGUCACGUGAAACAGAAAAAUGGAACCGAGUAGAGCCGCGGCCUAGGUGAACCACACGCGAGCUUAGACGGGGUUGGAAGGGGUGGUUUUCGAUUCCGAGCGAAGGUUUGAGUUCGGGAAAUAAAAUCAGACUACUACUCAUGAAGAAUAACUCCCUCCUCUUCACUCAUUACCGCAAAAUAAGCGAAAUCGAGAGAAACGACUGAGAGGAAGAAGGAGAAGGAAGGUAUGCUAUUUUUCAAUUUCGUUCACUUUGUGUGAAAUUUCUUCACGAUUUAAACUUAAGAAACGAUUCAUAUCUCUUUUAAAGGUAAAGGAAGAUUGAGAGAGAAAGAAGAAUGAUUUUAUGUUGGAAAAUUUUUCUUUGUAAGCAAUUUCAAUCAUAUUUAUUUCUUGUUCGAAUUUUGACAACAACAACAACAACAUCAAGUCUUUAUCCCACUACGUGGGGUCGGCUACAUGAAUCCUUUUUCUCCAUUGUGUCGAAUUUUGAAGGUAGAUAAAAUUUAUUAUAAUGGUAAUAAUAGUAUAUGAUUUCAGAAAAGAAGAAAAUCUAACUUGAAAGAGGAAGUGUUUGGAUUUGGAAAAUUCCUUCAUAAGAAAGUGAAGAAUCCAAUUAUAGUAAGCUUAGAUCCGAGUGAAAGAAGUCAAUUUGCAGUGAAGGAAAGAUCUGUUGAAAGAAGGGAAGAUUCCUUGAGGUAAUUAUUUAAUUGUGAAGAGUUUAAUCACAUAUUUUGUUAGAAGAUAAUGAUAGAAAGUGUAAUUGAGAUUGUGGAAGAAUUUAUGGCCUUUAAUAUUAUGUAAUGUGGAUUAAUUAGUAAAAAAGCCCUCUUUGAAAAUGGUUAAAGUAAUUUGUGUUAUUUUAAACAAUGAAAGAUUUUCAUACUAAGAUGAAUAUUGGAGGUAUAUUUCAGAGAAUCAAAGAUUUGGAAGGAAUCUGAACAUACAAAAAAUAUUCAAAGUGAGUAAUUAUAGCAUAAUUAUUUUAUGGAAAUUUUAGAUUCUUUUCUUUAUGUUAUUACAAUUUAUUUAAUUAUUGCAAUUAUAGCAUGUUAUAAGAAUUAAUUGAAAUAAUAAAGAAAGUUUAAAUGUGAAUUAUAAUUAUACGGAAUUAUCAUUGUAUGGAUGAUAUUUAAAUGUUAAAUAUGCAAUAAUCUUGAGAAUUAUUGAAUGACUAAGAUUAUAGUAUAAUGUAUGUACGUGUAGUGAAUUCUAUAAAAAAUGAAAGUAAUAAAAGAGGAAAAGAUACAUGCAUGCAAAUUACAGGAAUUCAUUCCCGUAUGGUACUAGUUGGGGAAGCAACGUAUCCGUGCAUGCAUGUUAAAUGAAAAUGAAAAUUGUUGUACUUUUAU